RNAcentral lists this unclassified non-coding RNA (219 nucleotides) under uncultured Rubrobacterales bacterium. RNAcentral's name for it is "contains 16S-23S intergenic spacer region". Lineage: Bacteria; Bacillati; Actinomycetota; Rubrobacteria; Rubrobacterales. The record is from RNAcentral.
UCCGGUUUGUCACCGGCAGUCUGGCGUGAGUCCCCAACUAAAUGCUGGCAACACGCCACGGGGGUUGCGCUCGUUGCGGGACUUAACCCAACAUCUCACGACACGAGCUGACGACAGCCAUGCAGCACCUGUGGCGCACCCUCGAAGGUCACACGUUUCCGUGCGCUUGCAGCGCCAUGUCAAGCCCAGGUAAGGUGGGGAUGACGUCGUAUCUCACUG